ACUGUUUUGCAAGUCAAGGCAAAGAAUGAAUUGUGGGGGCUCAGCAGCAUUCACUGCUUCAGACAAUUUCACAAUCUGUACAGAAGGCAGCAUCAGGUGAGGAGCAGGUCAUAGCAAUAAAAAUGCAAUUUUUAUAAUGUCAAUUUGCUAAAAUUACUGCAUACAGCAUACAGAGCAGAGAUAACAGCUUUCUUUUCUUUCAUUUGCAUGCUGAGACGUACUUCAGACCAGAUUUCUGAGAAGAGAAGCUCCAGAUGAUGGCAAUACAGAAUCGCUGUUAUAUACUUCCGGUCAGAUGGCCCGGUCCUUGACAGGGUUGAAUGAUUCUCCUUUGGACAAAGGUGCUUCUAUGCUUCCCAUUUAUAUCAGCAAUGAUGCACUCAAUGAAGCAGUAGCAUGAGAAGUUCGUUCCCGAGGUCAGUUUUCGUCCUUUCAUGCUCUCCUGGCAGUUCUCGUGAAGAAGAACACGAUAAUCGCAUGGCCUGCAGCAGUAUCACGAGAAUCAAGCGGCGAGGGAUGGUUUCAGUCCUCCCAUGCCUCCUCACGCUUCUCGUGAAACUUGAAAGAAAAUGCAAAUACCACAUGACAGUUAAUAUCCUGCUCUGUGUAGUAGUCCCGUACUUUACCGGAUUUAGCUCAAUCUCCAUAGCUUGAGAAGUUCAAUGAAUAUAUAGUGCGGAACUUCCAUUUUAUAGCAUUUUAGUGAAAACCGUCUGUUUUCAUCGAACUUUAACUCAUUUGAUUUGCUGCUUUCUGCUUUGAUAUGGUCAUUAGUGUGCAUGAGUCAGGAUUUAGCAACAGAAAGACAAGCCAUAUAUCAUGACCGGAUGAAACUUAUCGCAUGAUCUGUUUUCGUGGGAAAGGCAACAAAGAUCCGG
Molecule: long non-coding RNA, 878 nt
Filed under: Eucalyptus grandis
Lineage: Eukaryota; Viridiplantae; Streptophyta; Magnoliopsida; Myrtales; Myrtaceae
Description: long non-coding RNA (EGRA_LNC004887)
Source: RNAcentral